This 438-nucleotide ribosomal RNA is filed under the name uncultured bacterium. RNAcentral describes it as "bacterial SSU rRNA". It matches the Rfam family "Bacterial small subunit ribosomal RNA", at positions 954 to 1392 of the family's 1533-position model. The record is from RNAcentral.
GCAGAACGCGAAGAACCUUACCAGGACUUGACAUGGAGGGGACCGGACGAGAGAUCGUUCUUCUUCCGCAAGGAAGCCCCUCACACAGGUGCUGCAUGGCUGUCGUCAGCUCGUGUCGUGAGAUGUUGGGUUAAGUCCCGCAACGAGCGCAACCCUCGUUUUAGUUGCCAUCAUUCAGUUGGGCACUCUAAAGAGACUGCCGCGAAUAACGCGGAGGAAGGUGGGGACGACGUCAAGUCAUCAUGGCCCUUACGUCCUGGGCUACACACGUGCUACAAUGGGCGUCACAGAGGGUCGCAAGAGCGCAAGCUGGAGCCAAUCCCCAAAAACGUCCUCAGUUCAGAUCGAGGUCUGCAACCCGACUCGUGAAGGUGGAAUCGCUAGUAAUCGCGGAUCAGAACGCCGCGGUGAAUACGUUCCCGGGUCUUGUACACACCG